RNAcentral lists this ribosomal RNA (630 nucleotides) under uncultured bacterium. Its description in RNAcentral is "bacterial SSU rRNA". It matches the Rfam family "Bacterial small subunit ribosomal RNA", at positions 9 to 640 of the family's 1533-position model. The record is from RNAcentral.
GAGUUUGAUCAUGGCUCAGGAUGAACGCUAGCGGCAGGCUUAACACAUGCAAGUCGAGGGGUAUAGUUCUUCGGAAUUAGAGACCGGCGCACGGGUGCGUAACGCGUAUGCAAUCUACCUUUCACAGAGGGAUAGCCCAGAGAAAUUUGGAUUAAUACCUCAUAGUAUAACGACUCUGCAUGGAGAUGUUAUUAAAGUCACAACGGUGAAAGAUGAGCAUGCGUCCCAUUAGCUAGUUGGUAAGGUAACGGCUUACCAAGGCUACGAUGGGUAGGGGUCCUGAGAGGGAGAUCCCCCACACUGGUACUGAGACACGGACCAGACUCCUACGGGAGGCAGCAGUGAGGAAUAUUGGACAAUGGGCGCAAGCCUGAUCCAGCCAUGCCGCGUGCAGGAUGACGGUCCUAUGGAUUGUAAACUGCUUUUGCACAGGAAGAAACAACGCUACGUGUAGCGUCUUGACGGUACUGUGAGAAUAAGGAUCGGCUAACUCCGUGCCAGCAGCCGCGGUAAUACGGAGGAUCCAAGCGUUAUCCGGAAUCAUUGGGUUUAAAGGGUCCGUAGGCGGUUUAGUAAGUCAGUGGUGAAAGCCCAUCGCUCAACGGUGGAACGGCCAUUGAUACUGCUAGA